AAAAGUGCUCUCUCAAGAAGCUGCAAGUUUAAAUCAUGACACAGUUAAUGACAUUGGCAUUUUGCCAUCAACAAGGUCACAGAUGACAAUGUUGUUAGGUAUCUGAUUAUGGCAACAAAGGAGAAGAAAACCGGAUCACUCAUUGCAAAACCAAAAAAAAGGGGAUAUGUUAAUGAAAAUGAAUCUAUAGGGCAUAAGGUUUAGAUUAGUUAACAUGCACUAUUCAAUUGGGAGAAUGAAAAAACAAUGUAGAAAGUGUACCAAUAUGUCAUCAGUUAUUGCCCCUCAUACCAGAGAGUAAACCACUGAUUUGAAAUUAUCCUAUCGAAACAAACAACUUUGACAAGCAAGACGACUUACCAAUGCAUUAUGAAAAAUAUGUAAAUCACAUACCAAUCUUCCAAACCAACACCAGGAUUCAGGACUCUGAUAAAAAUAGAAGCUUGUGCAAAUUUAAAGUUAAGUUAAAUUUUAGAUUACAGAAAGAUUAACAUACCGUCUAAGCAAGACCUAACACUAAGCUUGGACAUAUGGAUUUAAGUUUAACAAUUUGGUUUUUGCUCAACUUCAUGAACAGUUAUUAGAAAAUGGUGGAAUUGAACUUCAGUGAAAUCCAACUUAAUUGAAGAGACCAAAGCUAAUCGAUUUCAUAUAACGAAUUUUUACCCAAAAAACCACAAUGAAUCACCCAAACAGACACACUAUACAAAAGAUAGCGCCAUGUCUAUUAGAAGCCAAACAAUAUCAUAAUAUCAGUCUGAGCAACACAAACACACCCCUAAUUCAU
RNAcentral lists this unclassified non-coding RNA (787 nucleotides) under Hevea brasiliensis (rubber tree). Lineage: Eukaryota; Viridiplantae; Streptophyta; Magnoliopsida; Malpighiales; Euphorbiaceae. The record is from RNAcentral.